GUCUCUGAGCAGGGUCCUAAUGCUUCAUAUCAAGCGAUUUACUGCAGGCAACUGGGAGCCAGAGAAGGUGGACGAUCCCAUGUCCAUCCCUGCAGAAAUAACCCUCCCAGCCGUAUGUGGGAAGACAGCCCAUGUCCAGUAUGGAGCCAGGGCAAGCUCCCUGGGGAGAAACAACAUGGACAACACACCUGCAAACUCCCCGAAAGGCACCCUUGAUAGACCAGAGACACCAGCCAGACAAUAUCUACAAAUUGUCAAGUGUGAUCUCACAUCUGGGAGACAACAUGUAUACAGGCCACUACAUCAGUGAUGUUUUGGACAGCCGUGGCAGUGGGUGGCUCUGCCUGGAUGACGCACAUGUCUUGAGGACAGAUGAGGCCACUGUGCUGAAGGCGAUUGCACAGACUGCCUACAUCCUGUUCUAUGUCUGCAGGUAAGGCUCUAGGCCACAAAUUUGAGAAGAAUGUCACAAAUGGACUCAAUGACGACAAUGAGUCAUCAAGAAAAAAAAAGUGUUUACCAAAGCUAGAAAGAUGAUUCAUUGACCACGCAUUAAGAGUUAUCCCUUUAACCUGUAAUCCCUCUGUAUGUGUUAUUUUUCAGACAUUGUGUCACACCCUGACCUUAGUAUUCUUUGUUUUCCUUGUUAUUUUGGUUAGGCCAGGGUGUGACAUGGGUGAUGUAUGUGUUUUUGCCUUAUCUAGGUUUUUAAAAAAUGUUUUUGGGGCUGUUUCCUUUCUAGGUAAAUUGUACGUCUAUGGUUGCCUAGAUUGGUUCUCAAUUAUAGGCAGCUGUGUAUCGUUGUCUCUGAUUGGGAACCAUAUUUAGGAAGCCAUAUUCUGUGGGUAUUUUGUGGGUGAUUUUUUAUGUCUAUGUUAGUUUCUUGUGUCAGCACAAUUCUUAUUAUAGCGUCACGGUCGUUAUUUGUUUAUUGUUUUGUAUUCAGUGUUCAGUGCUUUCUUUAAUUAAAACAUCAUC
This is a long non-coding RNA of Oncorhynchus nerka (sockeye salmon), 978 nucleotides long. RefSeq lists it as uncharacterized. The record is from RefSeq and is a predicted model, not a curated record. NCBI's taxonomy places the organism in Eukaryota, Metazoa, Chordata, Actinopteri, Salmoniformes, Salmonidae. The transcript has 4 exons.